Meriones unguiculatus (Mongolian gerbil) is the source of this 6402-nucleotide long non-coding RNA. RefSeq lists it as uncharacterized. The record is from RefSeq and is a predicted model, not a curated record. Lineage: Eukaryota; Metazoa; Chordata; Mammalia; Rodentia; Muridae. The transcript has 3 exons.
CGAGGAGGCCUGAGCUCGGGUUUUCAUUAUCGUGUGUACAAAUGUGAUCGUCUCCUUGCAGCCCGCCUCCCGCUCCAGGCGGCAGCUGUUGGCUGGUGCAUGGUAAUUUGAUGUAAAUUGCCCCCAAAUAUGGUAAUUCCCUUCUCUGCCAGAGAGCUCGAAGUCACAAACCUGGAGAGGUCGGCAGCAGAUGUUUUCUUACCGCUCUGCAGGCUGCUGGUGUCAUGGAAAAAUGGCAGCAGACCCCGAGACAAGGCCGCUUGGGCUACUUCCCGUGGGGGACAGGCCGUGGGCACUGAGUGUCUGCACCUGGGAAAUCAGCACAAUGUCUAGUCUGCUUGAAGUAGCAGAGGAAAGAAACAUUGCUCCGGUAUUUUCAGCACCGAGGACUGUGCGGGCAGGAAACACGGCAGAAGAUCCAUGGAUAAAAUAGAUCGGCUGCAGGAAGAAACCAGAGGUAUUCCCCGUGCUGCCAGCCAGCCAGCCAGCCUUCUCAGGAGCCGCGAUUCUCAUCUCUAGCUGGACUCACCUCUGUGAGACUUGGAAAACACAGAUCUCGACACCAUGGCCACGUAUUCUCAGGAGCUGCAGUUUCUCAUCAGGACAGGGAAAUCUCCUUCCAGCCCAAAGAGGGGUUCUGGUAAUAAAGACUGCUGUGUGCCAUGGGCAGAGUGGAGCGCUGGCUCCCCUCAGCCACAAAGCCAGCUUGACAUGCCAGCCUUGACCACGUGAUGGGCCAGAGGGAGAGCAUGUGCACCCCCAGGAAAUGCUACCUCCUCACAACAGUGUCAAGAAUUUGGUGACAUCUCCUGACUUUUAGACAUUAAAAAAAAAGACUCAAAGAAGUGAAGCCAUUCAUCCAAGGUCGCACAAGCCAAGUGGCCAGAUCCUGCUUCAAAAUGAAGUCAGUCAACCUGGCUGUUUGAAAGUGUGCUCUUAGUUGGGGGCCUCUUUUCAAGGUCAGCUGGGUGGACUCCGUUCUGUGGCAGGGCUAAUGGACACAAAACAGAGGUCUGGGAAGUGCAGGCAGAGCUGAACUGAAUUGCCCUUGACACUUGAAGCCAGCUGAUGGACAGGUGGUUCACAUCCGUGCCACGGUUGGUAUUGUCCCUGUAGUGGUUCCUGGGGAGUGGGGCAGACAGUCGAAAUGUUCCAGCCCCAGCAGGAGGCACAAGGGCAGACUCUCAGAAGGAAUUAAUAAUACCCAAGGAAUUCCUUCGGAACAGUGGGGGAGAAUAAGGAUUCUUCAAAAAAAGGCCUAAUAGCAAAUUUUCUGGAUUUUCCAGCUAAUUUGAAGGUACCUACUUGGAACAUUUUCUUGUCAGAAAAGAUUUUAAAGUACAUUCAUUCAGCGUGACAUGAUAAUUGGGCCUGGCUGUCUGAUGAAUGCCUUUUAUCUUUUCCUGAGCUAUUGUUCAGUGGGAUGGAGCCGCUGGGCGAAGUGGGCACUUGGUUAAAUGCAGAAACAGCCACUUGUGAUGGUCAUAGGCGAAAGGGAGGUCUCAGAGGUGCAGGUGAAAACUUAUAUAUGGUCAAGUAUCCGGAAGGGGAGAACAAGAAGUCGUUAGAGAAGAUCAGGGUCCAGGGAGGAACAGGAGGCUGCCAAUGCCACUCAACUUGGGGUUGACCCGGAUCACUUUCUGAGCCAGUCUGAGGUCCUUGUGAGGGGUGUGUAUAAUAAGACACACCAGUGGGCAGCUUGUGUCUGGCUGAAGCUGCCCUGUCCCCACUGGGCCCCAAUUCCCCUUCACCAGAGGCCCCACCCUCUGGGCUGCAGAACCGGAAGGCAGCAAGGGUAUAUUCUCCCGGCUAUUCUCAGCCCCCCCAGUAAUGGAAGCAGCUAUUUUCAGGAGCCUUUCUUCUCUAUUUUUUAUGCUUUCCUGUUCUUUAAUGCUCUUGUUUUAUCACAGGCAAAUUUCCAGGCCUGGCCAUCUGACAGUUAUCUCCGUAUUCCUUUGUCACCCCCAAGAAAGAAGGAUUUGUUUGGAUUUAUUGUUUUUCAACUUUACGUCAUUUUUUCCCCCUUAUCAUUAUUUUUCUAUUGAAUUUGCUUCAAAUUUAUUUUUUUAGAAACCAGACUUGCUUUCGAGUGUCUCGGAGCCUUCCAUAUGUUAAUAAGAUGCUCGUAGAGCUGUAGCUUGGUUUUUCUCCUUGUCAGAGCAAGGCCAUCCUUCCUUUUAAGAGACAGCUUGUCCUCAAAAAUGCCCUUCAUUAACAUUUAACGAAUGAAACAGUUUCCAUUGGGAUUAAGAAGUUGACAUUUCCAUUGUUUUUCUUAGAAAACAGCACAACAGUAAUCGGGCUCUCAAGUGACUGCCUUUUCCACAGAACUGAGAUAACAAAGGCCUGGACCAGGUAUAGGAGCCCAUACCUGGUCCCAUGUGUUGCUAUUUAGACAGGUAUGCCUGUCUCUGUGUCUGAAUGUGUGUUUAUGACAUUUUAUACAUGGCAGUGAUUUCUGCCAAUGUAUAAUUGGCCAUGUGUGUACCUGUGCCGGUGUGUGUGUGUGUGUGUGUGUGUGUGUGUGUGUGUGUGCAGAUAUCUUCUACCCACGGCUGUGGAUACGUACUGUUCAUGUGUGACUGUGUUCAUGCAUAAAUUUAUCUGCAUGUGUUCUAGUGUGCCUACACACAGAGAGAUGACAUACUUUUGUGGAGAGGGUGCUGUGUGCAUCAUGUCUGUGAGUCUGUGUAUCCAGGGUCUGGGUGAAGCUCCUGUGUGUGUGUGUAAGUCUUUGUCCUGUUUGUAGAAGUGUUUGGGAGCCCCAGGGAUGCGCAGCUUUGUCUUCAGAGUCCCUUAUACACACAUACACAGCACCCCCCGGUGGUCACUGCUGGAAUGCAGCCACAAACAAAACAACAAAAACAGUCAUGCUCAAAAUCAUGUCGAAUUCAAGAGAGGGUUUCUGGUUAUGUGCAGGGCAAGCUUCUAGGAUGGUCCUUGAAAAGGGGGGUGUGUUGUAAGUCUGGCCUAAGGUACACACUCAACAGAGAACCCCCGCAGGGCGCAGACAGCUAUUUCAUGGUGCCAUGGUGAAGGGGCUCUUUCUCUGGUAUGGGCUUCCUCUCAAGCAGAAAGGUCGGAAGCUACCUUAUGUGUGAGUGUGUUUCUGGGGUCCUGCAUUCUCUGUCAGAAUCCUGGGCCCCAUUCCAAGAAUAUAUCCAGCUUAGUGCCCUUUGGGUACCAUAUAAAGUCCUCCCAGUCUAGGAAAUGGGGAAGCUUCACCAGAGACAGUGCGUUUGCUUCCUAUUGCCCUCAUAAAGUGUGUGUCACAAACUUACAGGCUAAAAUAGGUCACCUGUGUAAAAUAGGGUGUCAGAGGCCAGAUGUGGUACUUCAUACCUACACACCCAGGUUUAGAAGGCAAAGACAGGAGAACUGUCGAAAGUUGGAGGCCAACCUGGUCUACAUAAUGAGUUCAGGCCCAGCCAGGACUACAUAGUGAGACCUCGUUUUAAAACAAAGCAACAAUUAAAGGAGGUCUCAGGAGCAGGGGGAGAGUGUGUGUCCUUCUCUUUACCACUUCUAGAUGUGGCCUGGAUUCCCUGGGUGGUGGCUCAUGUCACUUCCACCUCUGCCAUCACUCCUCUUCCUGACCCUCCUGACUCCUUCCCUCUCUUAUGAGGACCACUGGGUGAACCUAGAACCAACCUGACACGGCAGAUCUCUCUAGCUCCAGAUUCUCAGGUUUACCCUGUGUGGUGUUUGAAUAAGAAUGGCUCCCAAAGGCUCAUAUAUUUGAAGGUUUAGUCACUAAGGAAUGACAUUAUUUGAAAGGAUUAGAAGAAGUAGGAGGUGUGGCCUUGGAGGAAGAGGGGGUGGGCUUUGAGGUUUCAAAACCCAUGACAAGCCCAGAGUGUCUCUCUCUGCCUAAUCAGGAUGCAGAACUCUGAGUUCUGCUCUCUUCUGUCCAGCACCAUGUUUGUCUGUGUGCUGCCAUGUUCCCUGUCCUGAUGAUAAUGGACUCAACCUUUGUUAAGCUGCAAACAAACCCACAGUUAAAAGCUUACUUUUCUAAGAUUCGUCACGGUCAUGGUGUCUCUUCACAAAACUAGAACAGUGGCUAAUACCGUCUGUCAGCAAAGCCUCUUUUGUUCGGGAACAGGGCACUCAUGGGAUUGAUGAGGAGGACAUGAAUAUCUUCGGGAGUGUCAUUUGGCCACUACGAAUGCCCACUCUACGUGUGGACACCGUCCAUAUGAGCACACACACAUGCAGCUGCUGUGUAUAGAAUGUUCACCUGUGCCUAUCACAGCACCAACUCUAUCCUGUCUCAUUCUAACCCCUCAACAGUCCAAUGGGCAAGUUUUGUCACUAUAACUCUAUAAUAAGUGGAACUGCUACUGUGACUUGGAUCUUGAACGUCUCCUCAAAGGCCUGCAUGUUGAAAGCUUGGUCCCCAGCCUCUGCCCCUUCUGGGGAGAAGAUGUUCACAUCAGGAGGUGGGGCCAGUGGAAGGAAUUGAGCUACGGAGGGUAUGCCCUUGAGGGAGAUAUGCUGAUCCUGCUUCCUUUCCCUUCCUCUUUUAUCAUUUUAAAAGAGACUUGUUUUGCGUUUAUUUACUUAUUAACGUGUGCAUGUCACAGCACACAUGUGCAGGUCAGAGGGCAACUUGUGUCCUCUCUCCCACCUGGGUUCUGGGGAUUGAACUCAGGUCAUCAGGCUUUGUGAUUUUGGGUUUUUUUUUUUUGGGGGGGGGGUUGUUUUGGUUUGUUUUGGUUUUGCUUUUGCUUUUCUUUUCUGGGCUCCACAGGUGAUCAGGCUUCCACCACAAUGUUCUGUGCUGCCAUAGACCCAAAGCAACAGGGCCAACUAUGGACAAAACUGAGCCAAACAGAGUCUUCCUGCUUAUCCAGAUAUUCUGUCACAGGGACAGAUGCCUGGACUAACACUUCUGCUAACAGCAAAUGGCAUUCUAACGUCACGUACGUUACACAUCUGGGCAGUCGUGGAGACGCACUUUGAGCCCCGCAUCAACAAACCUCAAGGCCACACUUUUCUCCAGUAAAGGAUAUUGACAGAAGAGCCAAAUUCCCAUCUUACAGAUGAGAGAGAAAGCAUUUGACAAUAACUUGACAUGCGUCCAUCAAGGCCUUGAGAAACUGAGCACGUGAUGGACAGAGCAAGCAUGGGCAAUACAGGGAAGAAAGACACUGAUUUUUUGUAUUCAUUUAAUUCAUUUUUAGACACUGUUCUGGGGAACAGAUAGUCCUGUGUCCACCACUGUCCACAGAUGUGGUGGCACAUACUUUUAAUUCCAGCACUCAGGAGGUACAAAUCAUCUCUUCAAGUUCAAGGUCAGCCUGAUUUCCCUUACUUCCUAAUGUUGCCUUCCCUUGCCUCUGUGUCCCCCAAACCUUCCCCUAAGCCUCAGCUCUCACAACCCCAGUCCAGUUUAUAUCCCUUCAGUUUUGCUUUUUCCAGAAUAUCAUAAGUGAAAGUAUAGAUGACCUUUUAAUUCUUUUUGUUUGUUUGUUUGUUUUUAUAGACAAGGUUUCUCUGUAUAACAGAGCUUUGGCUGUCCUGGACCUCACUUUGUAGACCAGGCUGGUCUCAAAUACAGAGAUCCUCCUGCCUCUGCCUCCCUAGUGCUGGUAUUAAAGGUAUGUGCCCUUUAAUUCUUUUUAAAAGUAAAAUUAUUAUGUAAACAAUUCAACAAGCUAUUCUUUACAUAUAUUUGCAUAUCAUUUGCAUAUCAUGACCAUGAGUUUGGGAGGUAUAGAAUUCUAUGAAGUUUCACACAGAGUCAUGUGACCACAUGCUAGUAAGACCACAUUCAAGACUCAGGCUAUUCCACCACUUCAAAAAGUCCAGGGCUAGGAGGUAACUCAGUACUCGCCUUGCCUGUACGAAGUCCCCAGCACGAUACAACCCCUGUAUGCUGGGGUAUCCCUGAAACCUAAGCCCUUGGACAUCAGACGCUCACGGUCAUCCAGAAUGUCGUACGGAGGCAGCCAUGUAGUCGGCCUCCUGAGGCUCUGCUGUCACUCUCCAUGAGCACCUGUGAGGAUCUUGCAUCUGUGCGCUCAGUUUCUCCUUGUCAGGAGCGUCCCGUCAUUAACGCACCACAGGCUAUGUCCCUCACUCCUCCCCAGGCCAGCCUCCUCCCAAUGCGGUGUUUCCCAGGGUGGCCAUUUCCAGUGUGGCAGAUCUGAGUGAUCCUACACCCACUGAUUUCAGGACGUUUUCUUGAGAAUUUUUUGCAUCUAUAUUCAUGAGGAAUGUUAGGCUGUAGCUUUCUUUCUGUAAGGAAGGUCUUUGUCUAUUUUCGAUGGGGGGUUGGGGAGGGCGUUAGGCCUCUAAAAUGACUGAGAAGUGUUUCCGCCUCUUCUAUUUUCUGUAAAAGUUGGCGUCGAGUUGGUAUUAUUUCUUUCUUAAAUCACUCUCUAUUAAACUUGCAGC